CACGUAGGGGGCGAGCGUUGUCCGGAAUUACUGGGCGUAAAGGGCGCGCAGGCUGUUAUGCGAGUCUGCUGUGAAAUGUACCGGCUCAACCGGUGCCUUGCGGCGGAUACUGCAUAGCUGGAGUACUGGAGAGGGAAGUGGAAUUCCCGGUGUAGCGGUGAAAUGCGUAGAUAUCAUGAGGAACUCCGAUUGCGCAGGCAGCUUACUAAACUACUACUGACGCUCAUGCACGAAGGCGUGGGGAUCAAACA
This 251-nucleotide ribosomal RNA is filed under the name uncultured prokaryote. RNAcentral's name for it is "partial 16S ribosomal RNA". It matches the Rfam family "Bacterial small subunit ribosomal RNA", at positions 524 to 774 of the family's 1533-position model. The record is from RNAcentral.